GUUGAGAAGAGGAAGAAAGAGAGCCUGUGAGCAGUGGGAAUGGGAACAUGGAGGAAACCCUAACCUGCUUUCCCUCCACCUCUAGUGUAGGAGGUGAGAAUUCAGUUUGGUGUUUCCCGAUGCCUCCUAUUCCUAUUGUUCUCAAGCACUCCUUCCUUUUCUUUGGCU
Hordeum vulgare subsp. vulgare (domesticated barley) is the source of this 168-nucleotide non-coding RNA. Lineage: Eukaryota; Viridiplantae; Streptophyta; Magnoliopsida; Poales; Poaceae. The record is from Rfam.